UACAGAGGGGGCAAGCGUUGUUCGGAAUUACUGGGCGUAAAGGGCGCGUAGGCGGCCAACUAAGUCAGACGUGAAAUCCCCAGGCUCAACCUGGGAACUGCGUCUGAUACUGGAUGGCUUGAGUUCGGGAGAGGGAAGUGGAAUUCCAGGUGUAGCGGUGAAAUGCGUAGAUAUCUGGAGGAACACCGGUGGCGAAGGCGGCUUCCUGGACCGACACUGACGCUGAGGCGCGAAAGCCAGGGGAGCAAACGGG
RNAcentral lists this ribosomal RNA (253 nucleotides) under uncultured bacterium. RNAcentral describes it as "partial 16S ribosomal RNA". It matches the Rfam family "Bacterial small subunit ribosomal RNA", at positions 524 to 776 of the family's 1533-position model. The record is from RNAcentral.